Osmia bicornis bicornis is the source of this 3505-nucleotide long non-coding RNA. RefSeq lists it as uncharacterized. The transcript is spliced from 6 exons. NCBI's taxonomy places the organism in Eukaryota, Metazoa, Arthropoda, Insecta, Hymenoptera, Megachilidae. The record is from RefSeq and is a predicted model, not a curated record.
UACAUGUUUCACACCGCUUCCAAAUCGAAACUGUCUAACUAAUUGCGAAGCAAUCCUUGUCGCGAGGACAUUUGUCAAAUCAGUCUAUCGCGUUCUUUCUAUAGAACAUCAGGUGUUUCGUUCGAUUAGCAGGUGUGAAUUAAUUGAAGUUUGUUAUGGAAUCAAAGUGAACAGUGUCACAAAAAGUGAUGAAUUCUUUGUGUAUUUUUGUGUACUUGAAGUGAGAUUGGUGCUUGUUAUUACAGAAAUUACGAAGAUGGAUGAUCCACUUUCGAUAGCAAUGGGCAAACAUAUGCUGUUCAACAAGGAACGGGCACAUCUGGGUAUACAAGUACGGAUCCGUCGACCCCUGUUCAGUUGUUCAUCAAACCGUGCGCGAGAAACACGUUCGAAAUGUUCGCUGAAACACUGUUUCGUUUGUGUGCAGCAGUACACGUUUAUGCAACGUAACAGCAGCAGGGAUGAAGGCUAGCAUCGUUACUUCCGGCGUUUUACUACGGACACGACUUGCAGGGAUGGAUUUUUCUGUUUAACGAGAAAUUGCAAAACUACAAGGACCAGGAACGUACAACUGCACAGCCAUUUGGCACACUCCGCACACAAGCUCGACGUCCGCUUCACCGGCUCGUCCUAACGAGCCGAGAAUCGCUCGAUAAACAGGCGGGGAUUAAUCAACCAGAACCCGUCUCUUAUCGUCUCCGGCGAGGAACUGUAUCGUCACGUUCGUCUGCUGGACGGCGAAGCCCACGACGACGCGUUAAAUCGUGCAGAAAUCCAGGUUGAACGUGCACCGACCUGAAGCCACAGAACCUGCGUCCCUGACCCGCUCAACCUGUGGCCUCGAUGAAUCACGCGACCAGCACCAGCAGCACCAGCAACAGAUCUUCUCCGAGACAAUCGACGAAAGUUCUCAGACCGAUGGACAGGCACACGGUGCACCUCCAACGACCUGGAACCCCUUUGUUUAAUCCUUUGAUUUCCACGAUUUUAAUACCAAACAGUUAUCUAUACUUUUGAUCAAUUUCAUUUAUUUUGCUGAUAUUUUUUAUUUUAUGGGUACUUUCAGAAUUGUUUAGAAGUUAUGGCAGAGAUUAUUUAUAACUAAGGAAGAGUAUUUCUUGUAAGGGGUAGUAUCACUGUAGAUAAGCACAAGUUUAAUUUAUUAUUUUCAUCAAAUUUCACUUCUUUGUUAUAAAUAUUAUUUUAAUUUUUUAGAAAUUGUGAUAGGACUUGUUUAUAAUUAGAAAAGAUUACUCCUUGAACAGGGGGCAAGGGGUCCUCCUCUAAAUAACCACAGAUUUAAUCUCUUCUUUUGAUGAUAUACCACUUCUUCCACUUCUUACAAAUUUUAUUGCAAUUAUUUAUAAUCAGAAAAGUAAGAUUGUUCCUUAUUAAAAGGGUGAUAUAAAUCCCUACAGACAAGUCUUAUCACUUUAUAGUAAAAUAAUAAAAUAUCCUUAUUUUAUUAUUUCAAUUUAAUUAUUGAUAAAUUAUUAAUAAUCAAAGAUUUAAUAACUGAUUUAUAGAAAGAUAUAAUUAUUUUUUCCACCACAUUUAGAAUUUUAUGCUAAAUGGUAAAAUCCAUAUCACAUUUUUUGCAUUUUACUUGUUUAACCUGCUACAAUGUUUUUUAUUCAACACUUCUUCACUGUGAAAUCAGCAAUUUCUUUUUCUGCGUUACAAAAUUUCCAAUGGUUCUUCAACGACGCACCUCACCAAGGAAAUACACACCAAGUGUUUCCUAACGAGCAAUCCUCUCGAUUAACCGAUCAAAAGGAGAAACUCUCGCACUCGAGACGAUAGGAUCCUCGAUCAAAGAUCGAACUUCAAGUUCCCGGACGUCUGUCUGCCGACGAGAUAAGAGACCUCGAAGAGCACUAGGAAUACUCGGCAACCUGUUGAUUCUUCGACGACUCUCGACCAAGCUGAGAAUUCAUCCAUCAAUGAUUCUCAUCAGAAUUCAGCUAAUUUCUUCGCGAACGAAUUCACUAUCGAACGUUGUUACGUGUCCCUUUGAUACUAUCGGCGAUUUAUUCGCGGUCGGAGAACCAGAUUCGCGGUGAGAGUGUUACCGCGAAACGGGAUUAGUCAAUAGCCGUUCAAAUUACACUUUCGAAGCGGAUUUGUCGCGGUCGCCAAACUUGGCCAUCCAACCUCUCGAUGUCCAAGUUGGAUUCUGUUGCAGAGAUCUUCCUGGAAUGUUGCUCGGAAAGAUCAAAUCUAUUUCUGCUUUGAAACUACGUCGAUGUUGAAUUCUUCAGCAUUAAUUAAUCAAACUCUUCAUUAAUUUAUAUAGAAAAAUUCAGAUACGCAGAAUCUAAUUUUCAGAAAUUUUCAAAGUUCAAAGCAGGAAAUCUAAAAAUUCCUCAACAAAUAAUCUCAGAAGCCUCCAAAAAUAUUCUUCAGGGCCUGCAAUAGUCCACAGGGUUAAUUCUUCGAUUGUCACUUUUCGAACUUCUUCAAACAACACUCAAACCUUGAAAAAUUCAAAUAUUUCUGAAAAAUUUUAAUGGAUUAUUUUUGUUAACACUGCUUUAACAUCCAGCAUCCCCGAAUUGAAAGAUUCUUCAGGAAUUAGAUCACUAGUUUGCGAAGACGACUGAUUACUCGCGAGCGCGCUCGCCGCGCGUAUUCGAACAUGCUUCCGACAGUUUGAUCGAUCCGGGCCCGCGAAAUCUGACUCGACCGGUGAAGACGCCCGCGGGCGGGGCACGCGAGUGACCGGAUCCGGCCGCUACCAAAAUGGCGGCAAGAUUUCGUUGAACGGAGGACCGAGAGGCCGAAAACGUCCGAAUGUAAAAUGCGUGUCGAAGGAUGGAAACGAGCGCACAGCGCAGGUAAGAGAGGUUUUCGAGCAACUACGAGCCGGUCAGAAGGCGGCGUGUCUUUCUCCCCUGCAUCGUGCAUCAGCCUCGCGGAGAGAGGGAAAUGGCGAAACGAUGGUAGGAGGUAUAGUGCAAAAACCGGCGAGAGGGGAGCAGGUGAACGCUGAUAGAUUCGCGAUCCUUGGGAAUCGAGAUCGGGGAUCCUUGCAUUCGGAACUUGAUACCAGCUUGCCAGAUUAAGAGUCGAGUCUUUAGCGGUGUUGCGGAUGGUCAAGGUGCAGGAGGAGCCUUAUCGAACCCUUGGUACUAGAGGGGGAAGAAACGUGUUGCAAAGAAAGACAGGUUUCAAAGCCAUUGCAUACGAGUCACAAUUUUACGCACAGCUGACUUCGUUAACCCCUUACUGUCAGUUGGUUCCUGCCUAAAGCAACAGGUGGUCGUCGAUGUUGCGUGUCGAUUAUGAAAAUGGUGAAUAAGGUUGCAUUUUGCGACUGCAUUUCACAAACAGCCGCACAUUUCGUAGAAUUUACGACUUCUGUAAUUUUAUAUUCUUUUUUCAAUGUAAAAUUAGCUUACAAAUAUGUUAAUAUUCGACAGCUUCUGUUGAAUCAUCAUUUUUUAAAAUAUGAUUUAUGUAUGAUAUAGUGUGUAUAAAUAAAGUAAAGAAUAAUAAUGCAAAA